UUCCACAGAGCCGGGACCGAGCGAGCCGGCGAGCGACCGCGGUAAAGGUAUCGCACCGUAGUCAGAGGCCACCGGAGUCGGGUUACAUUUUGUUAGUAGUUUACCCCUUUUAUCAUCUUUGUAUUUGAUGAUUUAAGAUGUUGAUGUGUAAAGCAAAGUAAAGAAAAGAAUGUAAUGUUCAUUUUGAGGUAAAUGUGAUGUAAAAGAAAUGAUGAAAGAAUGUAAAGAUUUUGGAUGUACAAGUUGGCUAGAUAUAACGUAUGUGAUCAAAAUGAAUCAUAUUACUUGAGAAUGUUUAGUUUCCUUUUUCUUUCACUAAUGGCUAUUGCUUACCCUCGUGUAAGCCGUUUGUGUAUGUUUCC
This 362-nucleotide long non-coding RNA is filed under the name Ananas comosus (pineapple). RNAcentral's name for it is "long non-coding RNA (ACOM_LNC039452)". Lineage: Eukaryota; Viridiplantae; Streptophyta; Magnoliopsida; Poales; Bromeliaceae. The record is from RNAcentral.